This is an RNA transcript of Brassica rapa (field mustard), 6904 nucleotides long. It is a transcript of the gene named protein NRT1/ PTR FAMILY 7.2-like, with no coding region annotated. The record is from RefSeq and is a predicted model, not a curated record. NCBI's taxonomy places the organism in Eukaryota, Viridiplantae, Streptophyta, Magnoliopsida, Brassicales, Brassicaceae.
UAUUUUCUCAAAAACCGCAAAAAUAUCUUCGGCCAAAACCGUAAAAACGCUGCCGAAACGUAAAAAAAUUAUAUUUUAGUCAUUUUAUUAACAAGUCCACCUGGAUGCAGAUGAAAGUUAAAAAAUGAAAAGCAAACGAACAUAGUUGCAUUCAGAUGAUUCAUCUGGAUGCAUGAACGAAAUGAAGAAACAAACAACACCCAUAUAGAACAUUUGGAUAAGACAUCUAAAUGGACCAUCUGGAUGCAUCUUCCAGAUGUACAAACAAACCGGGCCUUAUUCGCUAAGCUAGUUACUUUAUUUAUCAUUAGUUAGUUUUAGUUUCCCAUGUGUUAUAAAAAAAAACAUUUUUAUUUAGUUAAAAUAUUUACACCCCCAUAUCUUAUAAUCAAUAUUUCAUAUUUAAUAUAUAAAUAUAUAUAUAUGUAUCUAUAAAAUAAAAUUUGUUUAUAUCUAUAUGUAUAUAUAUCAAGUUAUGUGUUUUUGGUAUGUGUGGAGAGUCUGAAGUUAUGUAUUAUGUAGUGUCUGAGUAACUUUGGUGGAUGUCGAAUGAUCUUGUAUACAAGCCUCAUAUUCACAAAAUAAUUCAUCCGUCCACAAUCGUGUUUGUGGAUGCGGCAAAAACCAAUAAACUGCAUAACAUAGUCAUGGAUGUGAGCACACAUUAUCGCAACAACUCGUUCCAACUUUUUAGAUCUACUCCAGAGGGGAUAAUCCAAAGCUAAGUUCCUCCCCCUCCACAGAUCUCGAUGGAAAUUAUUGCCACCAUUCACCAUCAAACUCUAAAUGCCAACCUCUCCAGAGAUUGCUCUACAUACGGCUCGCCGGAACACCAUAAGACCGUCGUCUUCUAACCUGCAACAUUUCCACCGCAGACGGAUCUAGUACAAGUCGCAUCCAACAACCGUCAGAGACACUGUGCAUACCGUCGGAGAGAGCGAAAUCCACUGGAGUAGAUACACAAACUCUGUUAAGGGAAGAAUGACUCUUUGCUUUAGUCAAGAGAGACUUCUAGAUUUUUUUUAAAAAAAAUUGAUAAUCUAGAACACCGACAUAAACACAUUUUUUAUUUCUUUAGUUUUUAGAUUUUUUGCAGGAAAAAAAAAAUAUUAUUGACAGUGAGAAGAAGAGAAGAUUUGUAAUGGAUGAGAUUGUUUUUAGUUAGGUAAAAUGGAAGGACUUGUUAGUCAAUACACCGUUAGAAAGUACACUACAUGUCUAAAGUAUGUGUAAACUUAAAGAAAGAGUAGAAAAGUAGGUCUAGGUGUAAUUUUUUCUUUCUCUCUAUUCUCUACUAAAUUUAUUUCCUACGAGAAAUUUAAUAUUUCUCCUUCAGAAAAAUCCAUAAAUUUAUCAGCUUGUUUUAUUCGUCUUUAGUUCGUUCUUUGACAGAAAAAAAAAGUAAAUGUUUUUUUUUUCUAUUUCAUUCGAUUUCGUUUGAAAUCUCAUAUUUUUGUUUGUUUCUUUUGUGGGUUUUGUGAAUUUUAAUCAGCGUUAUGUUUUCUUUUCGGACGUUGGCGUGGCGGAUCUCAUAUUAGAUCUUCAUUUUUAACUUAUAUUAUAGUGUCUACAACGAUGAUAUCAAGGUUCAAAAUUCAAUAUGAGGAAAGAUGGUGGCUUUGAAAUUUAUCUUAGUAGGUCUUUUCUAAUUUUGAGCUGGGAUUUUGUUGUAUGAGCUUUUCUCAGAGGUUGGGGACCUUAAAGCGUUAUGGGAUUCACAAUGAUAAGAGUGGAAGAUCCAUGGUACUCUAUAACUCAUCUUCUCGAAGCUUGAACUCCUCCAUGACUGCGCCAACACGGGACCACCAGACUUCCUCAUCGUUGCUCGAUGCCAUCUCGUCUAGUAAGCUUUGCAGAGUUGCCAGAACCGGGGCCAGGCCGCCUCAGUGUCCACAUGCUCAAGAGGUUGCAUUUGGGGUCGAGAGAGGUGAAUCAGUCACCACAUCUGAUCGAUUUGCAGCAUACAUGACUAAAGGAUCGAGAAUUGUAACUAAUAAUAACGAAUAUCGGGUAACUGAUAUAUACUACUUAACUUACAAGAAUAAUUUACAGAUUUGAGUCAAUACUGAUAAUCAACUACUUAUAGAAAAAUCCAACUAACAAUAAUGUCCGGAUAAUAAUUUUAGUUAGCCGACCACUAACAUAAAUAACCAACCAUUAAAUAAUUUUGAAGAACCUGCAUUAACCACUUGAAUAAUCUUCGGGUUUGAGUUUAUAGGGAUAACCAACUACUUAUCGGAAAACCCAACUAACAAUAAUGAUAUCCGGAUAAUUGAUAUACACUGCUUAACUUAAUGGAUACGAGAUUAAUCUACGAACACACUGAUUUUUUAUUCUAUCAUCUGUGCUGAAAUAUUAUGCUUUUCAUUGAUUACAAUAACGUUAAGUGUGUCGUUUAUGGAACACCACGUUUUCCAAGAUUUAUGGAAUUCGACAAAUGCAAACGUUGUACUCUGUGUUUUACAGUUUUGGCAAAUUAAUUGGAGAGUAGGUAAUGUAUUGUACUUAUUUUAAAUCAAAAGUGUUAGAGCUGAUUUUAUCUGAAUAUUUUGCUAAUAUUAUUUUGUCUCUCAUUGAUAAGGUCGACUGAAGAACGUUACUAAGAUUGAUGGUUUUUCUAAAAUUGUCUUUGAGCUCAAUUAUGUUCCAGAAAUCGAUGCUUUCUGAAUGAAGUAAUACCUUUCGUUUACUGAUUUUGUUAAAUAAUUGUGUUUAGUUUCGUAAGCUGAUAUCCUUUCUUAUUACUCUUAAUAUGACUACAAGCGAAGAGUUCUGAAUACACUUUUCACAGUAAUUGUGAUUUUUUUAGUUUUCUAUUUAGAGUAAUUGCGUCUCAUGACCAUAAAACAAAAUAAUAUUAGGCGAACGGAUACGACACUGUUACACUUUCAUAAUCCCAGCAUUGCCCUUACACUAGCUCCCAGGCGAGUCUGAUACACUGAGCUUCUGCAGAUACACAUGCUAUGAAUUUUAAUUAUUACUCUACUGAACCCUACUUCACGCCACCACUUGACAUCUAAAACUAAACAUAUAUUGAAUUUUGAAAUAAUUCUAUCUCAACUGUUUUCUCUCUCCCUGGAUAAAUUUAUUUUCUUAUCUUCUUCAAGAUCCUUAAACAAAAAAAAUGUUCUUCAAGAUCUAUUCGUAUUAUCCUCUACAAAUCAAGUUUUAGAUUCAACUCCCCAAACUACAUUCAUCUCCCUAUCAUCAGAUCCGCCAUGUUUCGUUUCUAAAAAGAAGAAACCAUAGACUCCGUCAAGUCCCAUCUCGAUAAUUGCCACCUCCUCACCGCCAUCAAAUACACAGCCUCACCGUCAAGCGGAUCAUGGGUCUAUCUCUUCCUCAGACCCUUGUGCUACUCGAUCUCCUCUCAUGUUUUUUCCUCAGGUUCUCUCUCCCAGAUUCACUUAUUUUAAAGACAGAUCUGAAAAAAGAUUUACAGUUUGUAUCUAUAUUUAUUGUAGGUGUGCUCUUUUCCGAUUUAUGAUGGGCAUGGUGGUUGUUUAGCUGCAGAGUUUGCUAAGAAGCAUCUUCACCUUAACGUUUUUCAGCUGGGUUAUCGUGUGAGUUGAAUUUCUAUAUGAUUGGGAAAGAUAAAAGGACCGAACCUUUUGAAGGGCUCUCAAGCUAGAUAUGACUCAUCAAAUAGAGCUCAACUUUUUUAUCAAGAUUGAACAGCUUACACAGAUGCCUCGAAAAUUAGAGAAGGACACACAAGGGAAAAACAUGAAAAUUGUGGUUUGGUGAUUGUGUAUGACAAUUGUUUCCGCUUAGCAUAUUUAAUAUCAUAUCCUAAUAACUAAGUGGAUGUGUCGUUGUUAUCCAGUUAUCAUUGAGUUUAUACUCCCAUUUCCCAGAUAUCGAGAUACUAUUGUUAAUAUCUGGUUUUAAUCCUUCUGAAAUUACUUAUAUAACCUGAUAAAUAGCCAGAUUUCAGAAACUAAAACAGGAUACAAAUUGUAUACAUGUUAUGUAUAAGUAAUAUCCGGUUAUAGUACACAUUAUCCAAAGGUGUAUGCAUGUUAUGUAUAUUAAAAUGUGUAUAGGAGAGUUUGCAAUAUACAUUUUAGAGUAAUUACGUCGAUACUAUUGAAAGCUCAAUAUUCCGAGACUAACCCAACUCCUAGGUCUGCAGGUAGAGCUGACACUUGCAUAUAUGUUCCCAUUUAUUGUGUAUCCGAAAUACUAUAAAAAUACUAGUUUUACUUGUAGGUAUCUGAAUUCAAAUCUCGACUAAUAACUUGACUUGGUGCCAUAAUGUAUUAUCCGGUUCAUUCCUAUUCACUUUACAAAUAUGGAAAACUAUUUUUUGGCUAUUACCAUUAUAAUCAGGAUUAUCGCUUUACUUAUAUAACCGCUAUAAUCCAGAUUACCGCUUAAAAACAUAGAGAACUAUUUUCUGGAUUUUAUCGUUAUAAUCCGGAUUAUUGCUGAAUUAUCUGUUUUUAUCUUUUUAAAUUAUCCGGUUUAUUUUUCAAAGAAUAAAAAAUCCAGUUUAUUGUUUCGAAUGAUCCGGUUAGUACUCCGCCAAAAAAAAAUCGUAAAUGUACAUGUAGUUACAUAUCUGGAUUCAUAUAAAAUGCCUUGUUAACAAUACUUUGAUCCGUACAUUCGCCGAGAGUCCCAGUAAUCUAAAAACCAUUUCUUUCAUUUUGAACGGUCUCUAUAUUUUGUUAUUAACUUACUAGAGAGUUACUAACAUUAACAAUAUGCACUGGCUUAGAUGGUAGGUGACUCUUUCCAUUUUCAAGAAACCAGGUUUCGAGCUCUGCCAUGUGCUUUUUAGUUUAGUUUUCAUUUUUCUUUUAAUAGAUGGCAGAAUGGUAAUUUCAGUACCAUCUUCUUCUCUUGCAACCUGCAACUUUUAUGGGUCAAAAAUGGCUAUCUCUUUUUUUUUCAGAUCUUUCACGCUUUUCAUCAUGUUUCUUUUCAUUUUGAUUUAGACUUUAUAGAUAUAAGUUAUAUUUGAAAUAAUUUGGAUUUUAGUUUCAUUAAACGAGUUGCAUUGAGUCGCUUAUAACUCGACGCCUUUCACUAUAAAACGGACAACACGGCCAUAACAUCCAUUGAUUUGCUCCAUCCGGCCACAACCAAGCUCUGAUAGUCGCACGGACAAGCUCCGAUAGUCACACGACCGAGCUCCACUGAUUCGCUGCAUUACUCCUCCGAUUUGCUCCGUCUUGCCAUGGCCAAGCUCCACUCCGAUAAUCACACGCACCAAUUUAAAUCAAAUAUAUUUCAACUUCAAAGCGUUAACUGUUUUUUCUCAAUAAAAUAUCUACCCGACAAAACUCUGACACAAAAUCUGAACAAGCUGACCUCCCUACCUACCUACAAAGCUGAUAAUCGAGAAGGCUAUCCUCAAACAAUAUUCCUCUGAGGUCAAUAACGUAAUAUCAGCUGUUAAUGAUAACCAGUUACCCAAUUACACAAAGUUUUUGCAUGAUCACCUAAUUACCCCUUGUUUUAUGGUUAUUAAGCUAAAUGACUCAUCUAUUUAUUUGUUCUUUUAUAGUUUGUUCCUUUCAUAUUUUAUUAUUCUAUUUCCUAUGUUUCGUUUUAUCUUAUAUCCAUAAUUUAUAUUAUGAAAGCAAAUUAUUUUGCCUGUGUUUCAUUUUUGCUUUAAUUCAUAACUAAUUUUAUAUAAGUCUUUGUUUAUUCUUAUGGAUUCACUUUCAUGAUCUAUACUUCAAUUACACACAAUAAAUAACACAAGUUAAAAAGAAAUGUAGCUUACUUAUAUAGACAUAUACACAAUUUCUUUCUGUCGUUUAUUAUAUAACAUAUAAUAUUAUGAGUAUGAUUUUUACAUUUCUAAUUAAUACCUAUUCAUUAUAAUUUAUUUUAGUUAAUUUAUCCUGCGCAGGGCGCCUGGAUUAUCACCUAGUCGAAGUUAAAAACAAAGAUGCACGCCCAAAUGGAGAAAUGUAUAUGUUGACAUGUUGCAAUAUCAACGUUAACCAAUCUGCUAAUUAGGCUUAUUUUGUUUUUUUAUAAGUAAUUAAGCUUAUUUAUUUAACUAUCGUUUCCAACAAUAGCUAUACUAUUAUAUUAUCACUCCGAACCCGAAAGCGAAUUCAUUGAAAAAAAACUCAACAUAAACCAUAGUAGAAUACUGAGUUCGGGCAUCACAUGCAAGCUUGUCAGUCAUUAUGUAUGAGUUUGCGUAAUUAUAGUUAUUGUAGAUACUGUUUGAAAGCAGAAAAAGAGAUCAAGACACUAGUUAUGCUUAACAAAACAGAAUCCAACAAAGGUCUCACCGAGCUUCAGAGAAUGGGGACAUGUCUCGUGAUCGCGGUAAUGGCGAUGAUAUCAGCAGGAACAGUGGAGAUAUACAGACUGAAACACAAGGAGUCGGUUUCAAACUCGAGCUCAUUGAGCAUUUUCUGGCAAGUACUUCAGUACAUGAUGAUUAGGUGCAUCAGAAGUGUUCAUGUACGUUGGUCAGCUUGAGUUCUUCAACAGCCACGCUCCAACAGGGUUAAAGAGCUUUGCAAGCGCGCUGUGUAUGGCUUCAAUAUCGCUAGGGAACUACGUUAGUAGUCUGCUGGUGUCCAUCGUCAUGAAGAUCUCUACAAGAGAAGAUUUUCUUGGUUGGAUCCCUGGGAAUCUCAACAAAGGGCACUUGGACAGAUUCUAACCGCAACUGAUUUUGUGGUUUACCUGGUUUGCGCGAAAUGGUAUAAGUAUAUAUAUCAAGUCUGAAUCAAGUUUCUCUGAGUCCAUGGCUGAAGAGGAAGUCUGAGUCCAGAAGCCAAAAUUUUUGCUGUGAAGCUCUGGACAGUAAAUGUCCAAACCUGAGCUAGUUCUGUCGAAUAAACUGGUGUUGUGCUAUUCUUUUGGGCUACUUGUGUGCAAAGUUUUGUUAAUGAUUCUAAAUAAAGACAGUUGAUGAUUCCACUCA